GUCUAGAUCGCAUUUGUUUGUCACCGGUGCCAUUAGGCAUGAAGUAAGGGAAACCAUGAUUGACAUACAAUUAAAUAAGAGCAACUGUAGUUGGCUCAGAAUUUACGCUAACAAAACAAUUCUAUGUAAACCAAUUACUCGAUUAUAAGCAAAAUGAACCAUUUAUGGGGAUACAGAAACAUAUGGAAUUGAAAAAUUGAAGGGAAA
Molecule: unclassified non-coding RNA, 207 nt
Filed under: Hevea brasiliensis (rubber tree)
Lineage: Eukaryota; Viridiplantae; Streptophyta; Magnoliopsida; Malpighiales; Euphorbiaceae
Source: RNAcentral